This 468-nucleotide ribosomal RNA is filed under the name uncultured bacterium. Its description in RNAcentral is "partial 16S ribosomal RNA". It matches the Rfam family "Bacterial small subunit ribosomal RNA", at positions 28 to 507 of the family's 1533-position model. The record is from RNAcentral.
GAUGAACGCUGGCGGCGUGCUUAACACAUGCAAGUCGAACGGUGAAGGCGGAGCUUGCUCUGCUGGAUCAGUGGCGAACGGGUGAGUAACACGUGAGCAAUCUGCCCCUGACUCUGGGAUAAGCGCUGGAAACGGCGUCUAAUACUGGAUACGAGCUGCGAAGGCAUCUUCAGCAGCUGGAAAGAAUUUCGGUCAGGGAUGAGCUCGCGGCCUAUCAGCUUGUUGGUGAGGUAAUGGCUCACCAAGGCGUCGACGGGUAGCCGGCCUGAGAGGGUGACCGGCCACACUGGGACUGAGACACGGCCCAGACUCCUACGGGAGGCAGCAGUGGGGAAUAUUGCACAAUGGGCGAAAGCCUGAUGCAGCAACGCCGCGUGAGGGACAACGGCCUUCGGGUUGUAAACCUCUUUUAGCAGGGAAGAAGCGAAAGUGACGGUACCUGCAGAAAAAGCGCCGGCUAACUACGUG